This 466-nucleotide ribosomal RNA is filed under the name uncultured bacterium. RNAcentral describes it as "bacterial SSU rRNA". It matches the Rfam family "Bacterial small subunit ribosomal RNA", at positions 330 to 793 of the family's 1533-position model. The record is from RNAcentral.
UCCAGACUCCUACGGGAGGCAGCAGUGAGGAAUAUUGGUCAAUGGGCGGGAGCCUGAACCAGCCAAGUCGCGUGAGGGAAGAAGGUACUGAGUAUUGUAAACCUCUUUUGCCAGGGGACAAGGGCGGCCACGGGUGGCCGUAAGAGGGUACCUGGAGAAAAAGCAUCGGCUAACUCCGCGCCAGCAGCCGCGGUAAUACGGAAGGUCCGGGCGUUAUCCGGAUUUAUUGGGUUUAAAGGGAGCGUAGGCCGGUCUUUAAGCGUGCCGUGAAAUUUUGUGGCUCAACCAUGAGAGUGCGGCGCGAACUGGAGACCUUGAGUGCGCGGAAGGCAGGCGGAAUUCGUGGUGUAGCGGUGAAAUGCUUAGAUAUCACGAAGAACCCCGAUUGCGAAGGCAGCCUGCCGCAGCGUUACUGACGCUGAAGCUCGAAAGCGCGGGUAUCGAACAGGAUUAGAUACCCGGGUAA